Molecule: long non-coding RNA, 511 nt
Organism: Haliotis rubra (blacklip abalone)
Lineage: Eukaryota; Metazoa; Mollusca; Gastropoda; Lepetellida; Haliotidae
Exons: 3
Source: RefSeq, a predicted model, not a curated record
UUCUAACUGUGAUAUAGUUGCCUUUGUCACAGACAAAACUCAAUGUCUGUUUUAUUACUGAAAACAAAGUUCAUACUGAGGAAUAACACUUUUCAUGUUGAUGGCUCCCAUUAUAAACAAGUUAAAGUACGACAAUGGGAACAAAUGUAGGAGUAUGUAAUUAUGUAUAUAUAAGCAAGUGUAUUUUAAUUUGUAUUUUAAUCACUAAGUCUAGCCCUAGCUUAACCACUCAAUCUAACCUGCUUCACUUUCACAAUAGCACUCUCACCCUUGCGCUUACGUUGUCUAUUGUAUCUAUUGUCUUGCUCCAGCCCCAGGCCCCUUAGUUUCAAUAGCAGGGUGUUUUGUGGGUCAGCUAUCAUUUUCACUUCAGUCUGUCUGGUCACUGGUCACAGCUAGCAACAGCUUAUAACAGGUGUGGCAAACAUAGUUCCUGACGUUUGUGACGGUAACGGGCACAGUGCCAUACACUCGGGCCUUCUUCAGUUAUUGCCAUUAAACUGACAUCUAC